Molecule: ribosomal RNA, 359 nt
Filed under: uncultured bacterium
Lineage: Bacteria
Description: bacterial SSU rRNA
Rfam family: Bacterial small subunit ribosomal RNA
Source: RNAcentral
GAUGAACGCUGGCGGCGUGCCUAAGACAUGCAAGUCGAGUGGGUUUAGACCCACGGCGAACGGGUGAGUAGAACCUAGGAACUUUCUUUUAGUUGUAGCAUAUCCUCCCGAAACGGGAGAGUAAUACUCGAUGUGGCCGCAAGGCUAAAGUCGCAAGACGCUAAAAGUGAGGCCUGGGACCCAUCAGCUAGUUGGUAGGGUAAUGGCCUACCAAGGCGAUGACGGGUAGCGGAAGCGAGAGCUUGAUCCGCCACACUGGGACUGCGACACGGCCCAGACUCCUACGGGAGGCAGCAGUUUGGAAUUUUGGACAAUGGACGAAAGUCUGAUCCAGCGACGCCGCGUGCACGACGAAGGCC